Molecule: ribosomal RNA, 779 nt
Filed under: uncultured Ascomycota
Lineage: Eukaryota; Fungi; Ascomycota
Description: LSU rRNA
Rfam family: Eukaryotic large subunit ribosomal RNA
Source: RNAcentral
GUGAAAUUGUUGAAAGGGAAGCGCUUGCAACCAGACCUGCCUGCAGUUGCUCAUCCGGGCUUUUGCCCGGUGCACUCUUCUGCUGUCAGGCCAGCAUCAGUUCGGGCGGUCGGAUAAAGGCUUCGGGAAUGUAGCUCCUCUCGAGGAGUGUUAUAGCCCGUUGCGAAAUGCGGCCAGCCUGAACUGAGGUCCGCGCUUCGGCUAGGAUGCUGGCGUAAUGGUUGUAAGCGGCCCGUCUUGAAACACGGACCAAGGAGUCUAACAUCUGUGCGAGUGUUUGGGUGUCAAACCCGUACGCGUAAUGAAAGUGAACGGAGGCGGGAACCCCUCGGGGUGCACCGUCGACCGAUCCUGAUGUCUUCGGAUGGAUUUGAGUAAGAGCAUAGCUGUUGGGACCCGAAAGAUGGUGAACUAUGCCUGAAUAGGGUGAAGCCAGAGGAAACUCUGGUGGAGGCUCGCAGCGGUUCUGACGUGCAAAUCGAUCGUCAAAUUUGGGCAUAGGGGCGAAAGACUAAUCGAACUAUCUAGUAGCUGGUUCCUGCCGAAGUUUCCCUCAGGAUAGCAGUAACGUUUUCAGUUUUAUGAGGUAAAGCGAAUGAUUAGAGGCCUGGGGGUUGAAACAACCUUCACCUAUUCUCAAACUUUAAAUAUGUAAGAAGUCCUUGUUGCUUAGUUGAACGUGGACAUUUGAAUGUAUCGUUACUAGUGGGCCAUUUUUGGUAAGCAGAACUGGCGAUGCGGGAUGAACCGAACGCGGAGUUAAGGUGCCGGAAUGCACG